This 466-nucleotide ribosomal RNA is filed under the name uncultured bacterium. RNAcentral describes it as "partial 16S ribosomal RNA". It matches the Rfam family "Bacterial small subunit ribosomal RNA", at positions 28 to 507 of the family's 1533-position model. The record is from RNAcentral.
GACGAACGCUGGCGGCGUGCUUAACACAUGCAAGUCGAACGGAAAGGCCCAGCUUGCUGGGUACUCGAGUGGCGAACGGGUGAGUAACACGUGGGUGAUCUGCCCUGCACUCUGGGAUAAGCCUGGGAAACUGGGUCUAAUACCGGAUAUGACCAACUGUCGCAUGGUGGUUGGUGGAAAGCUUUUGCGGUGUGGGAUGGGCCCGCGGCCUAUCAGCUUGUUGGUGGGGUAAUGGCCUACCAAGGCGACGACGGGUAGCCGACCUGAGAGGGUGAUCGGCCACACUGGGACUGAGACACGGCCCAGACUCCUACGGGAGGCAGUAGUGGGGAAUAUUGCACAAUGGGCGCAAGCCUGAUGCAGCGACGCCGCGUGAGGGAUGACGGCCUUCGGGUUGUAAACCUCUUUCACCAGGGACGAAGCGUGAGUGACGGUACCUGGAGAAGAAGCACCGGCCAACUACGUG